GGGGCCUUAGCUCAGCUGGGAGAGCGCAACGCUGGCAGCGUUGAGGUCAGGGGUUCGAGCCCCUAGGUCCAU
This 72-nucleotide transfer RNA is filed under the name Bacillus sp. JCM 19045. Its description in RNAcentral is "tRNA-Ala". It matches the Rfam family "tRNA". From Rfam's summary of the family: Transfer RNA (tRNA) molecules are approximately 80 nucleotides in length. Their secondary structure includes four short double-helical elements and three loops (D, anti-codon, and T loops). Lineage: Bacteria; Bacillati; Bacillota; Bacilli; Caryophanales; Bacillaceae. The record is from RNAcentral.